This 634-nucleotide ribosomal RNA is filed under the name uncultured beta proteobacterium. RNAcentral's name for it is "bacterial SSU rRNA". It matches the Rfam family "Bacterial small subunit ribosomal RNA", at positions 74 to 703 of the family's 1533-position model. The record is from RNAcentral. Lineage: Bacteria; Pseudomonadati; Pseudomonadota; Betaproteobacteria.
GGGAGCUUGCUCCUGGUGGCGAGUGGCGAACGGGUGAGUAAUGCGUCGGAACGUACCGAGUAAUGGGGGAUAACGCACCGAAAGGUGUGCUAAUACCGCAUACGCCCUGAGGGGGAAAGUGGGGGAUCGUAAGACCUCACGUUAUUCGAGCGGCCGACGUCUGAUUAGCUAGUUGGUGAGGUAAUGGCUCACCAAGGCGACGAUCAGUAGCGGGUCUGAGAGGAUGAUCCGCCACACUGGGACUGAGACACGGCCCAGACUCCUACGGGAGGCAGCAGUGGGGAAUUUUGGACAAUGGGGGCAACCCUGAUCCAGCCAUUCCGCGUGAGUGAAGAAGGCCUUCGGGUUGUAAAGCUCUUUCAGCUGGAACGAAACGGUGCGCUCUAACAUAGCGUGCUAAUGACGGUACCAGCAGAAGAAGCACCGGCUAACUACGUGCCAGCAGCCGCGGUAAUACGUAGGGUGCGAGCGUUAAUCGGAAUUACUGGGCGUAAAGCGUGCGCAGGCGGAUUGUUAAGCAAGACGUGAAAUCCCCGGGCUUAACCUGGGAAUGGCGUUUUGAACUGGCAGUCUAGAGUGUGUCAGAGGGGGGUGGAAUUCCACGUGUAGCAGUGAAAUGCGUAGAGAUGUGGAG